GACGAACGCUGGCGGCGUGCUUAACACAUGCAAGUCGAACGGUAAGGCCCUGCUCUUGUGGGGUGCUCGAGUGGCGAACGGGUGAGUAACACGUGAGUAACCUGCCCUUGACUUUGGGAUAACUUCAGGAAACUGGGGCUAAUACCGGAUAGGAGCUCCUGCGGCAUGGUGGGGGUUGGAAAGUUUCGGCGGUUGGGGAUGGACUCGCGGCUUAUCAGCUUGUUGGUGGGGUAGUGGCUUACCAAGGCUUCGACGGGUAGCCGGCCUGAGAGGGUGACCGGCCACAUUGGGACUGAGAUACGGCCCAGACUCCUACGGGAGGCAGCAGUGGGGAAUAUUGCACAAUGGGCGGAAGCCUGAUGCAGCAACGCCGCGUGCGGGAUGACGGCCUUCGGGUUGUAAACCGCUUUCGCCUGUGACGAAGCGUGAGUGACGGUAAUGGGUAAAGAAGCACCGGCUAACUACGUG
This 468-nucleotide ribosomal RNA is filed under the name uncultured bacterium. RNAcentral describes it as "partial 16S ribosomal RNA". It matches the Rfam family "Bacterial small subunit ribosomal RNA", at positions 28 to 507 of the family's 1533-position model. The record is from RNAcentral.